AUGGAGCCCCCUGAUUUUGGGUGGCCGGGUCCUGCGGCUCCUCCUGCAGGGAUGCAGCCCGAGGAAGCCAAGCGGAGCUCCGGGGAGCUGCUCACAUCCACGGCCUUCAGGCGCUUUGGCUCCGCUCUGUCUCCGGUCCAUCUGCCCCCUGCAAGCUGCUGCCUUCGCCUUCCAAGCGUUACCUGUGCUCAGAGGAGCCCAAAUUUCCAUCCUGCUCCCUCACAGAGCCUUCCACCGAGAGGCAGGGAUCUGGUCCAUGGCCCAGCUCCUCGCCGGGCUCGGGAGGAGCAGCAGGGCCCAGAAGGACCGGCUCCAUCUGUGCUCCCGCAGCGAUGCCGGCAGGAGGGCGCCUUUAAUCGCUGGAGCCUUUCCAUGUCAGCACUCGGUGCCACGGCCGGGAGUGACGGACGAGCUGGGCCGAGCUGGGCAGACACCAAACAGGUGGCAGCUCUGGAGGGGGGACAUCACAUAACCACGAGUGCCAAAAACGACCCAAACACGAGACUUCAUCCCAGCCAGGGCUCUUGGCUGCCUUUGGCAAAGGAUUCUCCUUGGAUAGGGAGGGAAAAUGGGGGAGACCCCCCCAGGCCAGCCCUGAGCUCCAGCGUCACCGCUGCGUGUGCCAGGGCUGCAGGACGAGCGGCACUGGCUCCGGGAGGGAGAGGCAGCGCUAAGGAUGCUCUGAUGAGCCAGACAGUGAGAGAGACCAGCACCGAGACCUGCGCCCUUCCCUGUGUCCCAGCGGGGAGGAACAAGGACACAGCCUGCGGCAGAAGACAUUUUCCAACCAUUUGCAGAAGCAGCCGGGGAAGGGAGGCGCUGGGCAGGAGCCUGCGGAGCGCCCGCCACUCACACAGAGAGACGAAGGAGAUGGCCCCAGGAGACAGCUCCACGUGCCAGCCAGCUCCAGGCACCUCACACCUCUCUUCCACACCUCUAAUGAUCAUCCCCACCUCCCUUGGUCUUCAGGGUGGUGUGUGUCACGUCUGGCAGCUCUGUCCUGUGACAGGCUCCAGCUGGGGGGGAGUGGAGCAUUCCAUGCCAAGCAGCACGUCCUCCCCUGGCCCUGGCCCUUCAGGGCCUUGCCUACAGCCCUGGAGAACAGACCAAAUCUUCCUGACAUCCUUCUUCUUCUCCAACACCUUCCUCACUGCAAAAGGGGACGUGCUGAGAUACCUCACCCCAGGGCACAGCUGA
This 1197-nucleotide long non-coding RNA is filed under the name Cyanistes caeruleus (blue tit). RNAcentral's name for it is "lncRNA (ENSCCEG00000006449.1)". The record is from RNAcentral. Lineage: Eukaryota; Metazoa; Chordata; Aves; Passeriformes; Paridae.